UGGGAAUGGGUGCAAAGAAUUCUUUGUCAGG
This 31-nucleotide non-coding RNA is filed under the name Mus musculus (house mouse). The record is from RNAcentral. Lineage: Eukaryota; Metazoa; Chordata; Mammalia; Rodentia; Muridae.